GAGUAGGUCCUCAUACUCAUACUGACAAUGCUGUAACUUGCAGGUUAAAAAAUUCUCCUGGAAUACGUGUUCCCAGAGUGGGUGUGUCUGGACUAACCCCAGAGACAGACCAGUAGGACACUGGUGUCGUGCUGCAGUUCACCAUGUUUCAGGGGAGGUCUGGUUCAGCAGAUUCUUCUUCUUUGGUAUUGGAUACAAUGGUUGGUACCUUUUUAGAUGUCUAGACUGUGUGUAUGAACCAUAGUGUCAGCCAUAGUUAUAUAAAGGGACACACGCUGGAGGCUAAACGAAGACUCACAUGUCGAAGCAUUGAGGGACAUAUGAAAUAA
RNAcentral lists this long non-coding RNA (329 nucleotides) under Betta splendens (Siamese fighting fish). RNAcentral's name for it is "lncRNA (ENSBSLG00000026712.1)". Lineage: Eukaryota; Metazoa; Chordata; Actinopteri; Anabantiformes; Osphronemidae. The record is from RNAcentral.